This 114-nucleotide ribosomal RNA is filed under the name uncultured Bacteroidota bacterium. RNAcentral describes it as "uncultured Bacteroidetes bacterium partial 23S ribosomal RNA". It matches the Rfam family "Bacterial large subunit ribosomal RNA", at positions 1 to 113 of the family's 2925-position model. The record is from RNAcentral. Lineage: Bacteria; Pseudomonadati; Bacteroidota.
AAGAAAGUAAAUAAGAGCGCAUGGUAAAUGCCUUGGCUCUCAGAGGCGAUGAAGGACGUGACAAGCUGCGAUAAGCAACGGGGAGGAGCAAAUAUCCGAUAUAUCCGUUGAUUU